Molecule: ribosomal RNA, 468 nt
Filed under: uncultured bacterium
Lineage: Bacteria
Description: partial 16S ribosomal RNA
Rfam family: Bacterial small subunit ribosomal RNA
Source: RNAcentral
GAUGAACGCUGGCGGCGUGCUUAACACAUGCAAGUCGAACGGUGAAGGCGGAGCUUGCUCUGCUGGAUCAGUGGCGAACGGGUGAGUAACACGUGAGCAAUCUGCCCCUGACUCUGAGAUAAGCGCUGGAAACGGCGUCUAAUACUGGAUACGAGCUGCGAAGGCAUCUUCAGCAGCUGGAAAGAACUUCGGUCAGGGAUGAGCUCGCGGCCUAUCAGCUUGUUGGUGAGGUAACGGCUCACCAAGGCGUCGACGGGUAGCCGGCCUGAGAGGGUGACCGGCCACACUGGGACUGAGACACGGCCCAGACUCCUACGGGAGGCAGCAGUGGGGAAUAUUGCACAAUGGGCGAAAGCCUGAUGCAGCAACGCCGCGUGAGGGACGACGGCCUUCGGGUUGUAAACCUCUUUUAGCAGGGAAGAAGCGAAAGUGACGGUACCUGCAGAAAAAGCGCCGGCUAACUACGUG